CAGGAAUCUUGCGCAAUGGACGAAAGUCUGACGCAGCGACGCCGCGUGAGGGACGAAGGCCUUCGGGUUGUAAACCUCUUUUAGUGGGAAAAAAUAAAUUGAUGGUACCCACUGAAUAAGCACCGGCUAACUCCGUGCCAGCAGCCGCGGUAAUACGGAGGGUGCGAGCGUUAUUCGGAGUUACUGGGCGUAAAGGGCGCGUAGGCGGCUCGUUAAGUCUGAUGUGAAAUCCCUGGACUCAAUUCAGGAAGUGCAUUGGAUACUGGCGAGCUAGAGUAUAGGAGGGGAGAGCGGAAUUCCUGGUGUAGAGGUGAAAUUCGUAGAUAUCAGGAGGAACAACAGUGGCGAAGGCGGCUCUCUAGACUAUAACUGACGCUGAGGCGCGAAAGCGUGGGUAGCAAAC
Molecule: ribosomal RNA, 403 nt
Filed under: uncultured bacterium
Lineage: Bacteria
Description: bacterial SSU rRNA
Rfam family: Bacterial small subunit ribosomal RNA
Source: RNAcentral